This 253-nucleotide ribosomal RNA is filed under the name uncultured bacterium. RNAcentral describes it as "partial 16S ribosomal RNA". It matches the Rfam family "Bacterial small subunit ribosomal RNA", at positions 524 to 776 of the family's 1533-position model. The record is from RNAcentral.
UACGAAGGGGGCUAGCGUUGUUCGGAAUCACUGGGCGUAAAGGGCGCGUAGGCGGCUUGAUAAGUCGGGGGUGAAAGCCUGUGGCUCAACCACAGAAUUGCCUUCGAUACUGUCGAGCUUGAGACCGGAAGAGGUAAGUGGAACUGCGAGUGUAGAGGUGAAAUUCGUAGAUAUUCGCAAGAACACCAGUGGCGAAGGCGGCUUACGGGUCCGGUUCUGACGCUGAGGCGCGAAAGCGUGGGGAGCAAACAGG